This 13932-nucleotide long non-coding RNA is filed under the name Coffea arabica (coffee). RNAcentral describes it as "long non-coding RNA (CARA_LNC002969)". The record is from RNAcentral. Lineage: Eukaryota; Viridiplantae; Streptophyta; Magnoliopsida; Gentianales; Rubiaceae.
GCGGAAAGAAAAAACUGAGCAAGAGGGAAACAGAGGAGAGUUUGAGGAAAAAGGAAAGGGCAGGGAGUAAGAGGACGGUUGAGAGGUUUUGGAGUUGACGGCUAGUGAGGAAACUGAGAAGGUGAGCGGAGAGCAAGAGGGAGAGAGCAAGAGAGAAGUGGCUACGUUCAGUAAAAACAGAGCAAAGGGAGGGACCGAAGGAGUUUUUGGGAAAAAGUGACGGCUGGAAAAUUAGAAAAGGUGACAGCUGAGGUUUGAAGGAGGGGGAAUCAAGAGGGUAUCUAGGGACGGCUGCAAAUAGGGCAAAAGAAGGAGCUAGGAAGGGAGGCCACGGUCAGGAAGCGAAAAGAGACAGCUUCAGAGCUGGGAAACUAGGCUGGGAAGGAGGGUAGAGUACACCGAAAGAGCCGAGAGAGAAACUGCCGAGUGAGGAAGAAACGGGCAACUCAACGAGAAGCAGAUGGGAAUCUUAUCAACGGGAAACUAAGGAGAAAGCCAGCAAGAAAGGUUACUGGAGCCGAAGUAGAGACCGAGGCUUUCACGUUUUCUCCAUCGCUCACCCGAAUCCAAACUCAAGAUUUCAGGUAUAUUCUUGAAAACUGAUUUCUUAGUUUCUCCGAUGUUUCCUUCAUGACUGAGCUGGGUUUUUGCGUUUGUUUUCUAUUUGCUGUUCAUGUCACUGUUGAUGCUUCAAUCGUUGCUGAGUUAGGGGGGUUCCAGUUGUCUCUAUGGUUUUGAUCUUGUUUAGGGAGUGUUUAUCGCCAGAUUUUAGUAGAAAAUGAAUUGGAACUCUUGGGUUUUAUGGGCUUUGUUGAUUCACUGGGUUUGUUAUAUUGGAUAGAAGUUGCAGAAAAUAGCCAAAGUUUGCAUCCUUUGCUUUCCGGAUUUUCUGGGGGGAGGAAGACAGGGAUUGAACUUAUGAUUUCGCUGUUUGAUCUAAAGUAGAUUGGGUUGAAGUUCUGGGGCAUUCAGUGAGGCAUUUCCAGGUUUCCUUGGGUCAUGUAAAUGUUUGUAAACAUGCUGGAUUUGCAAAGAGGAAGCUGCGUGAAGUCUGUUGUGUGUUCUUUUAGUUUUUUUCCUUACGUAUCUUUGCUGCAUUUUUACAUUUCCUUACGUUCGGGAGAGACACGUGCUUGUAUUGUAUCCUGAUGCAUGAAAUUUCAGGUAUCUUGUGCUACUUUGUGUGUGUUAAUGUUUUAAUCUAUCCAAUGAAAGGCUUUAACAAUGCAUUGCUGUUAAGAUGAUGAUUGAGAUCCUCGUUUGAAUGAGGAAAAGUUGUAUUUCGUUCUCAUGUUUUGCUGUUUUUCCCUUCUUCACGAAGCACUCCCACAAAACUGGUUUUCAUGUCUUGAUAAGUUGCUAAAGAAAAUUGCAGAAGGAAACCUUGAAUGAAUGCAACCUGGAACGAACUUUGAAUGAGUUAUUAGUUUGCAUGUUUAAUCCAGUGUGUUAUGAUGGUUUUCUGGAAUCUAACGUAAGCUCUGUAGGCUGCUAAUAAGCUUUAAAGUUACCGAGAAACUCUUGCUGCAUUUUGUUUCUUUCUUUUUGCUGUUAUUUCUUUUAUCUUUAGCAGUCACCAAUCCAGUUUUUCUGCCUUAAUCCUGCAAUAAAAGUGUAAUAUUUGGCUUGGUUGAGGAUUGGAAGUUGUGUUUGUGGAUUGAUUCAAAAGAUGAUACUUGUUGGUGAUCUAUUUGGUUAAGUAUGGUGCAGAGAAGAGGAAACCAGAAAUGAGAGAGUUCUUCCUCGUAUGCAUGCAUGACAUAAUCCUGAGAAUUGUACUUUGACCCCUAAUUUUCCCACUAUUUCUCAAAAGGCCCAAUUAUAUUCUAGUUUCUUGCAAUCAGGUCCUAGAUUAUUUGCAUUUUAACCCUUACUUGACCCCUUCUUUGUUCUUUGACCUAUGAAUUCCCUAAAAGGUGUUAGUUGGUUUUGAGUGAUUGCUUAAUAUUUGCAAUUAGAUCCUUGGUAGUUUUCCAUCUUAGAGGUGUACUUUAUUUGAUUUCAUUUUUAAGUCACUAAUUUUAGCACCUCAUUCUAGAACCUUUUUGAUUAUUGGGUUUUGCUUUGCUUUAAUUUUGUUCGAGCAUAGAUGAUUUGUUGUGAAUACCUUAAGUGAUUCCAUUUUUGGGACUAAAUUUUGUUUAAUUUUCAUUCCGUGCUUAAUUCUCAUUUUUACGUAAUUAAUCGUUAAUUAAAGUGAUGCCUUGACCCCUUUUUGUUAUUUUGGAGGAUAAAUAAGUGAAUUCACUUCAUUAAGGUAUCAAUUCAAGGGAGGUAUAACUUCUUUUACCUUUUUUGUCUCACCUCUAUGUGAUCCAACGUGCUAAGUGAGAAUUGCAUGUCUACUUUGCUUUCAUUGCCUUUCUUUAAUUCCUUUCAUUUAUUUCAUUUACUUUUACUUUUUCAUUCUUUAUUUAUGGGGUAUGUGUACACCUCUUGGCUUGUAAUAGAUAGGGCUUGGAAAGCACUUGAUGAAGAUCUAUUGAAGACGUGUGCCUAACUAGCAAAUGUAAUAGGUUCAUUAGCUUGAUUGCUUGCUUUUGUUGCUAUGUGUUAAUUUGCUUUAUUAGGCUCUUGCAUCUAGUCGAGCAUGCUAAGUGUUAUGUGCUACGUGUUUAUAGGUGAUUUGCAUGUCUACUUGCUUUCUAUAGUCGUAGAUGAACGUGAUGGAUGAAUGUACGUCACCACACUAGUCCAAUGCUAGUUGUGGCUCAUUAUUCCGUUAGGAAUUCAUAGAAAGGGCUAGUCCAACGCUAGACCCAAUAGGCCGCCCCCCUUUCGUUAGAGCAUACUUGCAUGUUCACUACAUUUCAUGCAUUUUUCUUAGUUCUUAUCAUUUGGCAUGUUCCUCCAAUCCUUUUCCUCUCAUUUUAGGCUUUUUACAUCCUCAUGCUAGUUAUAGGGUACAUUUGCUUGAGAGUCCCCUUUCGAUAAGGGAAACGAGCGAGUUUGGCUACAAAAUAGCCUUAGCACGCUAGUUCUUCCUUCUAAUCCAAGGGAAAAUCAAAGUCGUAAAGUUAGGAGCCCUUCCCGUGCCCGACCUGAUGCAUUCCCUUAGGGUCAUACACUUGCAUUCUUUUUAUAUCACCUCCUCACUCUUUUAGCCACAUUUUCUCACUAUUUAGAUUUUUCUCAAUCCAUUUCUCACCACCUUUUUCCUAUCCCUCAUUUAUUUUUCUACCUCACAAAUGGCACUCAAAUUGCACUUAUACGUAUCUAGUAUCCUAUUUCAUUCAUUUGCACACACAAACACCUUUAUUUUCUCACACUUGCACACUUGCACUUGAGUCCUCACUUGCAUUAAUCACGACUUCCAUGAGAGCUUUCCUUAUUGGCCACCACAAUUCAUGUGGUCGGGACCCUAAAGCCUCAUGAGAAACAUUUUAGGUUUAGGAUUGCAUUUUUCUUUUCUUUUCGCAUCCAUCAGUCAUAUCCAACAUGCGAUACAUACCUUGGAUAGAAAAAUUAGGAAAAGUGGGGCUAAGUCACGCAACUAGCUUUGGUUAGGAUAAGGGAGUGCCUUAGGUUUUGCCUUUGCUUUCUCCUUUGUCAAAUGUGACCCCAAUCCCUUUCUUUGGUUACGUAGACUUAAAAAAUUCUUUAAAAAGGGUUUGUUUACUUUCUUUCCAAAAAAUUAUUUUUUUGGGUGACUUAGUACACCCUAACUCUAUACCAAGUGGCAACUCCUUUUCUAUCUAAAACCCUUUGUUUGGCCAAACCGUCGCAUUUCACAAUCCCACGGCCUUUUAUUUUCACUUUCACACACGUUCACAUACAUAUACCGCACACUACUUUCACACCUUUCAAAAAGUAGGGCGCGACAACUUGGCGACUCCACUGGGGACUUCCUAAGUGGGUCCAAGCAUUUGAUUUAACUAUUCUUUUCUGCUUUUUACCCUUCUUAUGCAUAGCAUUUGGAUAUUAGGGUUGCAUUUUCCAUUUUAGGACUUUUUGCCACGCGCGCGCGUCUCAAACUACUCCCUCACUCACGAAUGUAUGAUUGGUUGAUUGGAUGUAUGUUUACUUGUUUAUCUCGCGCCUGCAUUGCAUUUAGGGGGGGUAUGUCACCCUAGAGCCUCGCGUUGGUUCUUGAUCCCUCCCCUCCAAACGAGCACUAGCAUACGUGCAUACGUUUUAAUUUUUUCACCCCCAUUUAUUUUUUCCUUUUAGUGGCUUGUCACGCCACUCCACCCUAUUAGGAUUUUAGGCGACCCACUUGGACGUGUAAUCGUGACACGACGUGUACGUAACACGAUCCGAGGGGUCACUUAAUCUUCCGCUUUAAGUUUUGGAUUAAUAACCUUUAGUUUUUAGUCGAAGAUUGAGGAUUUUUGAUAGAUUCACUCAGACAUGUGGCCGUGACACGACGUGUGCGUAGCAAUGUCUGGGGAAUCGCUCGAGCCACCGACAAGAAACCUUGGGAGUGAUGACCUUUGGUUUCCAAGUCUGAAGGCUCGGGGAUCUGAGCUUAUCGAGUCUAGAUGCAUUAGUGAACCCCAGCCUCAUGCAUCCAUAUUAGAAUUGCCUAGGGUAGAGUCGACCUUACCCUAUUAGGGACACCAUUCACGAGGAGAGGGAUCCCACCCCCUUUCCUUGUAUAUCUUUGUUGCUUUUUAUAUUAUAUAAAUUGUCCAACGUGUUAUGUGGUUAUGUGUUGAACUAACUUUCCUUGUCUCUUAUCUUUUGCAUUUACAAACGUUAGGAAAUAAGAGGUCUGGCAUGAUCCUCUUUUAGGACCUACCCUUAUAAAUAGGCUAUUGCACGAUUAGAAAUUUCGCUAUAUUUCAUUCGUAAAUCAAUAAUGCCAUACCAUUUUAGGCCUACCCUGGCAAAUAAAGGGUUCCUUAGGUCACGUUUCAUUUCGAGUUGCAUAUUUUACCGCUUUAAUAAACUGGCAUCAUGCAAAAACCCUAGAAAGGGAAUGCCAUUUAGGGGAUCCCGUGUUAGGAAUAAACCACCUCGUAUCUCUGAUACUUAAUCCAAGGAGACUUGCACGUUUACAUUUUGUACCAUCCAAAGGGGUAGUGCACAAGGUAAGGUAGGAUCCGAUCGUCUUCAUAAGAGCAAUUUUUGGAAUAUGAGCUCUAAUAAUCACUUUUUGGCCAUUUUAUCAAAGUUGAUAAAAAUCCCUUGCGCAAAGGACAUUAAUUUGAAAAAAUUCACAAAUGAUUCCUCCUAUUGAGACAAUAAAUAAAUUGAGGCCAAAAUUUGAUUUUAGAAGGCUCAUAGGCUAAUGCAUCGUAAUAAAUUUUUUGAAACUACCAGUUGAUGGCUUGAUUUUUUAAUAGGUUCCCAAUUCCAUUCAAUCCAUUGGACCAUUUCAUUCAUCAAUUUCAUCCGGUCCAUUUUAUCAAUUUGUUCAUUUUUAGGGCAAUCUAGUCGAUUUUUGAAUAAAUCACCAAUAUCAUUCAAUUCAUUUGAUUAGUUAGGGCAAUUUUGUCGAUUUUUGAUAAAUCAUCAAUUUCGUCCGAUUCAUUUGACCAAUUUACCCUUUUAGGGCGAUCUGGUCAAUUUUGAAUAAAUUCUCGAUUUCAUUCAAUUCAUUUGACCAAUCUCAUUUUUUAGGAUGAUCCGGUCCGUUUUGAAUAAAAUUCUCAAUUUCAGUCAAUCAAGUUCCUUUUUUAGGAUGAUUCGGUCAAUUUUGAGUAAGUUUUAAAUUUCACUCAAUUCAUUUGACCCGUUUCCCUUUUUAGGGUAAUUCGAUCGAUUUUAAAUAAAUGGUCAAUUUCAUUCAACCCGUUUGACCAAUUAGGGAUUCAAUGUCGAAUUUCAAAUUGGGAAAUCUAGUCGAUUUUGAGAAAAACAUCCAUUGCAUCCAGCUAUUUGUUCAGUUGGGUUUUGACCCGUGCUUCAAUGAGAAAAUUUGGUCAACGAAUUCUAAUCUUUUUGAUAGGAAGUUCGUCAAGGCCAAACCCGUGCAUUUUUGUAAAUUUUUGUAUCGAUCAAAGGUGAUCAAUCCAGUCGGACGUUGUCCUCGUUUUGACAAAUGUCUCUCGUCACUCCAAUUGGUCAAAUUUUUUAAAAUUAUUUUUUCACUCAAUCAGUUGAUCAGAUCCAUCAGGUAUGGUAUAGUGCCUACCUCAGAGGAUUGCAUUUUCAUGCUACGCCUACCCUUGGCACAAAAGGGCUCCCCCAUAGGACAUGCAUCCGAAUUCUUUGGAUAUUUACUAACUCUUGUCUUUUUCUUUAUUUUUUUGGAAUAACUAAGCGAGGGUUAAAUCUAAAGGCAAUCUUUCAAAAAUUCUCAGGUAAUAUUUAAACAUAGCUUCUCAUCGAAACCCCAUCAUAACGCGAUCCCAUAGUAAAGCCCAAAAGAAUCCUGUAGACAUGAGUACUCGGCCAGGAUCGUCUGAUAAGACCGCCGCAACUACCCAUCCGGAAGCCACAAGUCCCGGGGUUCAGUUGACUGAAUUACUCACCAAAUUUGGGGAAAUGGCAUCUGAAAUGGCCGCCCAAAAGAAGCUGAUCGACGAGCUCGUUAACAGCGGAGUGCAGCCCGAGCUUGCGCCCAUCAAACAACUGGAAUCGGAACCAUUUGUUAUUCCUCCAAUUCAAACCACUUUUGAUGGAGCUUUCCACCCACAGUAUACUUAUACUCAAAAUCCUCCUCCCUAUGGGCAAGGAUUUCAGCCUCAAGGUGGUCCAAACAUGCCUCUAAAUCCACAACCUUUUUACCAGACUACUGCAGAGCCUUUCCUACCAGAUCACACUGUCCAAGCUAAAUCAGAAGUAGGAGAAUCUUCUGUUCCCGUUGAUGUGAAGUUGUUCAAGCGCCUCGAUCGUUUUGACGAAUUCAUAAGGAAAAGUCAGGGUUUAAGUAAGCAAGGAGUCCUGGAUUACGAUGAGCUUUGCCUUUUUCCGAAUGUGCAGUUGGCUGAAGGGUUCAAAACCCCUAAGUUUAACAAGUAUGACGGGACGGGUAAUCCCAAGACACACCUCCGACUAUUUGCUAACAAGCUGGGGAAGCCUGUAGACGACGAGAACCUGCCUCUAAGGUUGUUCCCGGAAAGUCUGGAGGGGGAUGCCCUCGACUGGUACUCAAAUUUGAAGCCCAAAGAAGUAAAGACCUGGAUUGACUUGUCAAAUGCUUUUGUAAGGCAAUACGAGUAUAACUGCGAGCUGGCUCCGACACGAACCACGCUGGAAGGAACAAAAAGAAAACCCUCUGAGGAUCACAAGACUUAUGCCAAAAGGUGGAGAAAAAUAGCUGCAAAAGUCGAGCCACCAAUGACCGAGGACAAAAUCAUACGCACUUUCAUUAAAGCACAUGAUCCGCCGUACUUUGAAGAAAUUUUCCGCAUGACUGGAUGCUCGUUUGCCGCUAUUGUCAAUAAGCUUGAAGAGUUCGAUGACUUCGUGAAAGUUGGGAAGAUUGUUAAUGUCUCUGCCCUCAAAUCCCAGUUGGAAGCUUUGCAAGGCCAAAGUAAUAGUGGUGGGAAGAAACAACAAUUCCAAAAGAAAGAGGGGGAAAUCGCUUUUGCCUGGGAUCGAAACCCUAUCCCAAAGCCCAAAUUUCGAUAAUACCCUACCUACUCCAACCCUUACCCUUACUAUUCAAACCCUCAUCCUGUUUAUCACACCAAUAUCACUCAUCCUCAACCUCGCCCUAAUCACACCAACUCGCCUAGAGCCCCUUUCCAAAUAUCUCAACCCAAUUUCCAACAAGUUCGACCCCGACCUCCCUACAAUCAACGAUUUCCUCCACCAAAUAGACCCACCUAUAAUUACCCCCAACCCAUUGAACCCCAAAAUCAAAAUCGUUAUCGUACUUUUACUAAUCUUGGCAGGCCUUUGGACCAAUUAUAUGAACAAUUAAAAGUCGCCGGUAAAAUCGGCAUAAUUCCCCCUCCAGCUUACCCUCAUGGCGUCUCUACCGGAUACAAUCCACAGUCCACUUGUGCCUAUCAUUCGGGAGCACUUGGCCGUUCAACCGCCGAUUGUAAAGCCCUUAAGCAUAAAGUCCAAGACAUGAUCGAGGCAGGGGAAAUAGUGCUAAAAAAGAAGGGUGGACAAGGACCGAGCAUAAAUGCAAAUCCUUUUCCUGAACACAAGGACGUCUUUGAGGCAUCCACUUCCAACGAAAAAAUUUGAAAAUCUUGAAGAAACUUUGCACAAUUGGAUUGCCAAGUAUCUUCCCUCUCGAAGGGAAGUUGGGAUAAAUCUGGGGAUUGUUAUUUGUUAAACUUCAUGAAAUCGUCACUGUUGGCUUUUGAGUAAAUAGUUUUAUCAUGUUCAAUCAAGUUUUGGCUAAAACAUUUUUUUUGCAUUAUCAAGUUCCUAUGUUGUUUUUUGAAUCUUUUGAUAGCAUGCAUAGUCACAUCUUUUCAUUAUUUUGUUAAUGCCAUUUUGUUUAUAUUGAUUGUUUAUUGGUUCUAAUUUCGCUCUAAGCUGUUUCAUAUGGCCAAAAGAUAAAAGUAUUUGACCUUUGGAUAUCACUGUUCUGGAGACCAAUGAUGUCGAUCUCGAUAUCACUCAUGUCUUUGAGUUUAUGGAAUCCAAGUUUCAAAACGAGAGUGAUAGUGAAGAAGUAUCUGAUUCUUAAAAAGGUCUCGAACAAUAUGAAGAGAAAUCCAAAUCGAAUCUUGAAGACAGAGAUUGUUAACAUUUGGCACCGAGAUUAGGGUCAAAGAAAUAAAGAUCAGUAGAUAUUGGAAUGAAAAGCAAGAAAAGGGAAGCUGUGUUGCCUGCCGAGAUGGAAGUCCCUUCAUUGCGUAUUCAAAUGGAGGCCAAGUUGGAGGAAGUUGAUUGAUCAAGGCAACCUCAUUGGUUGAAUGCUAUAUCACGGCCAUAACUACCAAAAACACAUGACUCAAAAAGUCCACCGGCGAUUUUUUCAAGAAGAAGGCAAAGCUGCUAAAGUGAAUUUGCCAAUGCAAGAUGCAGUCAAAGGCGAAUUUGUUCCAAAUUGGUAAAGGCUAUUCAUUGUUCAAAAGGUAUUACCUGGCGGAGCAUUCAUUUUGGCAGAGAUGGAUGGACAAACAUGCCCUCAACUUAUCAACUCAGACAUGGGUAAGAAGUUCUUUUGACUAUGCAAAUUUCUUUUAGAAGUCACGCAAGUGACGAGAUAAAAGUCAGGCCAUCUUCCUUUCCAAUCAAAGCAUUUCAUCCCUAGUCAUCCCCUUUGAGCUAUCAGAACAAUCAUUUUCGUUUCGCAACCCUUGAGAAUUGCAAACCCCACACUGGGGCGAAUUUAUUUUGAAAAGAGACGAUCAGAAAGAAAAGGAAAACCCCACACUGGGGCAAAUUUAGUAUUUGAAGAAAAAUGCAAAAGUGAGAAAAAUGCAAUAAGAAAAUGCAAAGAAAGAAAAAUCCAAUCAAACUGGGGCAAAUUUCCUCAGUUUUGUUCAAAAAUUGGAGAUAAUUUCAAAAUGAUGCAAUCUCAGGCAAUUUCACACCUUUCAUCAAAUUUGCUUUUAAGUCUCAACCUUUUUCAAAGCACCCCACCUGACCUUUAUUACAAAAGCUCAAAAGUCCUGACUUUCGUCAUUUGCUGUAUUUCUAUUAGGGAUUUUGCUAAUCAACUGGCAGGUGAUGUCCGUAAUGCCUUCACUUAAGCUUAUAAGGGAAGCGCAUUUUACUGAUGCCAGAAAUCUUCAACUCACACUCCUGAUUCGAUCAUGGACGAGCUUCUCCAUUGUUCCUUGGGUGAAAACCUGAAAGGGCAUCUCAAAAAAAAAAGGAAAAAAAAAAGAAAAACAAAACAAAAAUAAGGGUGGGGGCAACCUUGGUGAAAACCCAGAAGGGCGCCAAGGUGAGUUUUGUAAGCACGAGGAGCAAUAGCUGGUGACUUGGUUCAUUUGGAUCUCCCUUCAUUUGGAAUACUUCUGCCAGUGUUGAAUUCCAGAACAAAGAUAUCCAAGGUGUCAAACAUGACAUCUGUUGGCCGAAAAUUGUGUCAUUUUGUAAAAAUAAAUAUUCUUUCGCAAGUACAUUUUUAGGAAACUCAUUUUUUCCCAAAGUGCCUGUAUUCAUGGCAUUUUGUAGGCACAGAUGGUUAUGUUUUGCAUUCUUGUGCAUUUUCAUUCCUUCAUAGCAUGUGAAUUUUUAUUGCAUACCUCAUUUUAACUUCUUGAAUUUUGGUAAAUAACAAUCCCCAGGGGUUUAUUUCAAAAGGAUGCUUGGAUUCAGUCGUCUUUUGGAAACGGUUGAGAUUCAGCAAAGCCAGCCACGCAGCCUUCACAGUAUGGCAAAACACAUACAUUGUCAGUUUGAGAAAUCGGAAAAGUUUUGGAGCGAGAAAUCCAACUCAAUCGGAUGCUGCAGCGGAAGUUGGCGAAAAAGGAAGGAUAAGGAGAAAAACUCAUGUUUACACGAUUCUCAAAGGAAAACGGAUCAAAUGAUGGUGGCAAUUUCUUUGUUUUUUCUCUCUUGCAGAAAAAUUGCAUGUACAAAUGAAAGCAAUCACACCUCGCACUGGAACCGAUGCCGGAAAGAGUUCUCCAGGGAAUAAAGGCAGAUAAAAAAUGUUGCAAGCAAAUUUGAUCAAAAGGUACAACAACACGGUAAUGCAGAAUCAACUAUGGACUCAGGUUGCAAAAACUCAACCCACACUGGGGCAAAUUAUUUCGACAAGUCUCUCUCAGUCAGGAAAAAUCAAAAAACAUCAAAAAAAUCAUCAUCAAAAAAAAAAUCAUCAUCAAAAAAAUUCAAAAGUCAAAAAAUCAAAAAUCAAAUUCAUCACGGCAGGCUCGAGUUUGAUCCCACUGUCCGAUUGUCAAGACAUUUCAUUUUCACAGCCACUGGAGCGUGAGGUUAGUCCCGCCAGUGAGCAUUUCAUUUUCAUCGCUACUGGAGCGUGGGUCAGUGCCGCCAGUGAGCAUUUCAUUUACAUCACCACUGGAGCGUGGGUUAGUCCCGCCAGUGUGCAUUUCAUUUUUCAUCGCCACUGGAGUGUGGGUUAGUCCCGCCAGUGAGCAUUUCAUUUUCAUCGCUACUGGAGCGUGGGUUAGUCCCGCCAGUAAGCAUUUCAUUUUUCACCGUUGCUGGAACGUGGGUCAGUCCCGCCAGUGAACGUUUCAUUUACAUCGCUACUGGAGCGUGGGUUAGUCCCGCCAGUAAGCAUUUCAUUUUUCACCGUUGCUGGAACGUGGGUUAGUCCCACCAGUGAACAUUUCAUUUUUCACCGUUGCUGGAACGUGAGUUAGUCCCGCCAGUGUGCAUUUCAUUUUCACAACCACUGGAGCGUGGGUUAGUCCCGCCAGUGUGCAUUCCAUUUACAUCGCUACUGGAGCGUGGGUUUGUCCCGCCAGUAAGCAUUCCAUUUACAUCGCUACUGGAGCGUGGGUUAGUCCCGCCAGUAAGCAUUUCAUUUUUCACCGUUGCUGGAACGUGGGUCAGUCCCGCCAGUGAACAUUUCAUUUACAUCGCCACUGGAGCGUGGGUUAGUCCCGCCAGUAAGCAUUUCAUUUUUCACCGUUGCUGGAACGUGGGUCAGUCCCGCCAGUAAACAUUUCAUUUACAUCGCCACUGGAGCGUGGGUCAGUCCCACUAGUGCGCCUUUCAUUUUCCCCCGCCGCUAGCCGUGGGUCAGUCCCACUAGCGUGCGUCCCAUGAUUUUAAACUUUGUUCGGGUCAGUCCCGUUUUAAAUUUCUUGUUCGAGUCAGUCCCAUGAUUUUAAAUUUCUGUUCGGGUCAGUCCCGUUUUAAAUUCAUGUUCGGGUCAGUCCCGUUUUAAAUUCAUGUUCGGGUCCAUCCCGUUUUAAAUUUAUUGUUCGGGUCAAUCCCGUUUUAAAAUUCCUGUUCGGGUCAGUCCCGUUUUAAUUUCCUGUUCGGGUCAGUCCCGUUUUAAAUUCAUGUUCGGGUCAGCCCCGUUUUAAAUUCCUGUUCGUUGGAAUCCUCUUGCAGCCAAAUAACACAGGUGAGUGUUUGGUGUCUAUUUCUUUGUCUCAAAUUUUUUCAAAACCCGGACAAAGAGGGGCAAACUGUAGACACCAAAAUUUUAUUUUAUUUUCUUUUACUAUUUACUUUUUACUUUUUAUUUUUGUCGUGUCAGUUUUAUUCACUUUUUCGUUUUUAGUUUUUAGUUUUUAUUUUUAUGUUAUUAUUUUUAUUUUAUUUUUGGAGUUUUAGCAUAGAAUUUCUCGAAAAUGAAAAAGAGAAAAGCAUUCAAAAAUAUGCUUUAGUUGUUUUUAUUCAAAUUCAAUGUUUUCUUGAAAAAAAAAAGAAAAAAGAGAAAAAUGAUGAAAAUAAAAAUUGCAACUUUGCUGUUUAUUAUUUCUAGUUUAUUUAUUUAUUUUUAUCUGAUGUUAAUUAAAUUGUUGGUUUUUACUUAAUUUUAUUAACAUUUUGCUAAAUUACUUAAAAAGAGAAAAAAGGAAAAAAAAGGAAAAAAAAAAGAGAAAAGAAAAAGAAAAGAAAAUUAGCAUUUCAUUUUUAUCCUUUUAUGCCUAUUUCCGCUCAUUGUAUUUAAUUUUUUCUUCAUUAGUUAUUUUUGAUUAAUUAGUUAUCUAUAUUUUGUUAAGUUGUUAUUUAAAAAAAAAAAAAAGGGGAUCCGCGGCAUGCAAGCUGGGUAUUAACGCGGCUUGCAAAGGACAGUCACGCAUGCCAUUGGAGGGCUGGAUUUUAAGGUAGAGCAAGUCUUUCAUCCUCACCAUUGGGAUGAGGGUUUAGGAGAUUGGGGGCUCAUAUAAAAAGGAAAAGAAAGCAGCAGAAGAGAGGGGGAUGGGAGUUGACGGCGGAAAGAAAAAACUGAGCAAGAGGGAAACAGAGGAGAGUUUGAGGAAAAAGGAAAGGGCAGGGAGUAAGAGGACGGUUGAGAGGUUUUGGAGUUGACGGCUAGUGAGGAAACUGAGAAGGUGAGCGGAGAGCAAGAGGGAGAGAGCAAGAGAGAAGUGGCUACGUUCAGUAAAAACAGAGCAAAGGGAGGGACCGAAGGAGUUUUUGGGAAAAAGUGACGGCUGGAAAAUUAGAAAAGGUGACAGCUGAGGUUUGAAGGAGGGGGAAUCAAGAGGGUAUCUAGGGACGGCUGCAAAUAGGGCAAAAGAAGGAGCUAGGAAGGGAGGCCACGGUCAGGAAGCGAAAAGAGACAGCUUCAGAGCUGGGAAACUAGGCUGGGAAGGAGGGUAGAGUACACCGAAAGAGCCGAGAGAGAAACUGCCGAGUGAGGAAGAAACGGGCAACUCAACGAGAAGCAGAUGGGAAUCUUAUCAACGGGAAACUAAGGAGAAAGCCAGCAAGAAAGGUUACUGGAGCCGAAGUAGAGACCGAGGCUUUCACGUUUUCUCCAUCGCUCACCCGAAUCCAAACUCAAGAUUUCAGGUAUAUUCUUGAAAACUGAUUUCUUAGUUUCUCCGAUGUUUCCUUCAUGACUGAGCUGGGUUUUUGCGUUUGUUUUCUAUUUGCUGUUCAUGUCACUGUUGAUGCUUCAAUCGUUGCUGAGUUAGGGGGGUUCCAGUUGUCUCUAUGGUUUUGAUCUUGUUUAGGGAGUGUUUAUCGCCAGAUUUUAGUAGAAAAUGAAUUGGAACUCUUGGGUUUUAUGGGCUUUGUUGAUUCACUGGGUUUGUUAUAUUGGAUAGAAGUUGCAGAAAAUAGCCAAAGUUUGCAUCCUUUGCUUUCCGGAUUUUCUGGGGGGAGGAAGACAGGGAUUGAACUUAUGAUUUCGCUGUUUGAUCUAAAGUAGAUUGGGUUGAAGUUCUGGGGCAUUCAGUGAGGCAUUUCCAGGUUUCCUUGGGUCAUGUAAAUGUUUGUAAACAUGCUGGAUUUGCAAAGAGGAAGCUGCGUGAAGUCUGCUGUGUGUUCUUUUAGUUUUUUUCCUUACGUAUCUUUGCUGCAUUUUUACAUUUCCUUACGUUCGGGAGAGACACGUGCUUGUAUUGUAUCCUGAUUCAUGAAAUUUCAGGUAUCUUGUGCUACUUUGUGUGUGUUAAUGUUUUAAUCUAUCCAAUGAAAGGCUUUAACAAUGCAUUGCUGUUAAGAUGAUGAUUGAGAUCCUCG